This 250-nucleotide unclassified non-coding RNA is filed under the name plant metagenome. Its description in RNAcentral is "partial contains small subunit ribosomal RNA, internal transcribed spacer 1, and 5.8S ribosomal RNA". The record is from RNAcentral.
GUAGGUGAACCUGCGGAAGGAUCAUUAACACGUAUUUUACGUUCUCACCCGUGAACUAUGUUAGCCAGGAAAGCUAGUUUUUUGGCCUUUACCGGCUUUGAAAAACUUGGAUUUGUACACUCCGGUUUUUUUCUGCGAGUUUCCCUCGGGUGUACUUGUCACUUGAUCCGGUUCCCGUAACUGGAUUGGUUUUUUCCUGCACUGUUACUAUCGGGAGUAGAUUUUGAACUCCGUGGAUAAAGUUGUGUUU